GACGGAGGGUGCUAGCGUUGUUCGGAAUUACUGGGCGUAAAGGGCGCGUAGGCGGCUACUUAAGUCGGGUGUGAAAGCCCGGGGCUCAACCCCGGAACUGCAUCCGAGACUGGGUGGCUGGAGAUCGGGAGAGGAGAGUGGAAUACCCAGUGUAGAGGUGAAAUUCGUAGAUAUUGGGUGGAACACCGGUGGCGAAAGCGGCUCUCUGGCCCGAUUCUGACGCUGAGGCGCGAAAGCGUGGGGAGCAAACAGG
This 253-nucleotide ribosomal RNA is filed under the name uncultured Geminicoccus sp. RNAcentral's name for it is "partial 16S ribosomal RNA". It matches the Rfam family "Bacterial small subunit ribosomal RNA", at positions 524 to 776 of the family's 1533-position model. Lineage: Bacteria; Pseudomonadati; Pseudomonadota; Alphaproteobacteria; Geminicoccales; Geminicoccaceae. The record is from RNAcentral.